GACGAACGCUGGCGGCGUGCUUAACACAUGCAAGUCGAGCGGUAAGGCCCUUUCGGGGGUACACGAGCGGCGAACGGGUGAGUAACACGUGGGUGACCUGCCCUCAGCUCUGGGAUAAGCCUGGGAAACCGGGUCUAAUACUGGAUAUGACUCCAUGACGCAUGUUGUGGGGUGGAAAGCCUUGUGCGGCUGAGGAUGGGCCCGCGGCCUAUCAGCUUGUUGGUGGGGUGAUGGCCUACCAAGGCGACGACGGGUAGCCGGCCUGAGAGGGCGACCGGCCACACUGGGACUGAGACACGGCCCAGACUCCGUACGGGAGGCAGCAGUGGGGAAUCUUGCGCAAUGGGCGAAAGCCUAGACGCAGCGACGCCGC
This 373-nucleotide ribosomal RNA is filed under the name uncultured bacterium. Its description in RNAcentral is "bacterial SSU rRNA". It matches the Rfam family "Bacterial small subunit ribosomal RNA", at positions 28 to 400 of the family's 1533-position model. The record is from RNAcentral.